GGAUGUGAGGGCGAUCUGGCUGCGACAUCUGUCACCCCAUUGAUCGCCAGGGUUGAUUCAGCUGAUCUGGCUGGCUAGGCAGGUGUCCCCUUCCUCCCUCACCGCUCCAUGUGCGUCCCUCCCGAAGCUGCGCGCUUGGUCGAAGAGGACGACCACCCCCGAUAGAGGAGGACCGUUUCCUCGGUCAAGAGUAUAUGAGUAGCUGCGCUCCCCUGCUAGAACCUCCAAACAAGCUCUCAAGAAUUUUCAGGGCAUCCUGAGUUUAUUUGAUAAAAUUUUGGCUAAUUCCUCAAAUUUACUGGUGA
Molecule: unclassified non-coding RNA, 305 nt
Organism: Fukomys damarensis (Damara mole-rat)
Lineage: Eukaryota; Metazoa; Chordata; Mammalia; Rodentia; Bathyergidae
Gene: 7SK
Rfam family: 7SK RNA
About the family: 7SK was discovered as an abundant small nuclear RNA in the mid-70s but a possible function has only recently been suggested. Two independent studies have found that 7SK RNA binds the CDK9/cyclin T complex (known as elongation factor P-TEFb).
Source: Ensembl